Non-coding RNA from Haliaeetus albicilla (white-tailed eagle), 46 nucleotides. Lineage: Eukaryota; Metazoa; Chordata; Aves; Accipitriformes; Accipitridae. The record is from Rfam.
ACCAAGGCUCUUUUCAGAGCCACCCACACGUUUCACAACGAGAGCU